UGGGGAAUAUUGCACAAUGGGCGCAAGCCUGAUGCAGCCAUGCCGCGUGUAUGAAGAAGGCCUUCGGGUUGUAAAGUACUUUCAGUCGGGAGGAAGGUGGUAAGGUUAAUAACCUUAUCAAUUGACGUUACCCGCAGAAGAAGCACCGGCUAACUCCGUGCCAGCAGCCGCGGUAAUACGGAGGGUGCAAGCGUUAAUCGGAAUUACUGGGCGUAAAGCGCACGCAGGCGGUCUGUCAAGUCGGAUGUGAAAUCCCCGGGCUCAACCUGGGAGAUGCAUUCGAAACUGGCAGGCUAGAGUCUUGUAGAGGGGGGUAGAAUUCCAGGUGUAGCGGUGAAAUGCGUAGAGAUCUGGAGGAAUAACGGUGGCGAAGGCGGCCCCAUGGACAAAGACUGACGCUCAGGUGCGAAAGCGUGGGGAGCAAACAGG
Molecule: ribosomal RNA, 429 nt
Filed under: Chloroflexota bacterium
Lineage: Bacteria; Bacillati; Chloroflexota
Description: Chloroflexi bacterium partial 16S ribosomal RNA
Rfam family: Bacterial small subunit ribosomal RNA
Source: RNAcentral